UCCGGUUUGACACCGGCAGUCUCGCUAGAGUCCUCACCAUUACGUGUUAGCAACUAGCGACAAGGGUUGCGCUCGUUAAGGGACUUAACCCGACACUUCACAGCACGAGCUGACGACAGCCAUGCAGCACCUGUGCUAGUUCCACCCUUGCGGGCGUCAUUCCUGUUUCCAGGAACUAAUCCUAGCAUGUCAAACCCGGGUAAGGUUCUUCGCGUUGCUUCGAAUUAAGCAACAUGCUCCACCGCUUGUGUGAGCCCCCGUCAAUUCCUUUGAGUUUUAGCCUUGCGACCGUACUCCCCAGGCGGCACAUUUAGCAAUUUCUCUACGACCAAUACGGCGUCAGAGCCGCAUCGGUCUAAUGUGCAUCGUUUAGGGCGUGGACUAC
This 385-nucleotide unclassified non-coding RNA is filed under the name uncultured Phycisphaeraceae bacterium. RNAcentral's name for it is "contains 16S-23S intergenic spacer region". The record is from RNAcentral. Lineage: Bacteria; Pseudomonadati; Planctomycetota; Phycisphaerae; Phycisphaerales; Phycisphaeraceae.